GGUUUCAAAUCAGCAUGCCUUGCUGCAAGCUCAGGUUGUGGCCGUUACUAUUUAUGUUUUCUGAACGUUUUAUAUUUUUCACAUUUCAGACCCUCUACAUUUCCAUGAGCAGUGCACAAGGAAGGUAGAAGACUUUGACAAAUAGAAUGCUGUCCCCAGCGAGGUCUGCCUGGCGAAACGUUAAUUUCAGAGCCAGAUCAUUCACUUUGUAAUCACAGCAAGGUCCCUACCAGUGAAGAAGUGAGCAGUCUGCAAUUUUAUCCCUGGGUGGAGCUAUCGAAUGACGCUGUUUCAUUACAAGAUGCCUCAUUCCAAGGAGUUUGUGGGUUUAUAUACCUUAUUAAUUUUUAAAACUGUAUCCAAGUUUUGAAAAUGAAGUAGUCAAAUUUCCAACUUGGAAAGAGAAAAAUCAAGAGUAAUUGAAAAAGCUGUUCAAAUAAACAGGAAAUUCUAGCCAUGCUGCACCAUUUGAUAUCACUAGGAAAGGAAACUACAAACAGAAAAUGAAGGUUCAGAAAAUAGUAGCUGCCAUUACUCUGCGUAAAAAACACACAUUCCUCUCAUCUACUGGAUUGCUCGGUUUCGGGGAUAGCCUUCCUGGUUCAUACUGUAUCUAAAGUUUACUUACAGACAUGAAAGGUCAAAGGCAAAACUACACAUUACAGAGGGGGAAGUUACACAUCACCCCCCCCCAAAGUGGAAGUGCAUCACCCCAUAAGAGGAGGAAGAUCCAGAUUUGCAUAAGAUUUAUGUAUGCUAAUUAAUAUAUAUGGGUGCAAAUCGAGAAAGAAUUCAAUUAAAACAAUGCAAGUAUUAUAAGCACUAUAAUUUAAAUAAAAACACAUUACAUCUCACCAUAGUGGAGAGGACUGUGAUUGGAUAAGCUGUGUUCCUGCUCGGUUUGCUGUCCAGAUGGUAACUUUAAGCCCUGCUCUCUCUUUUCAUGGUUCUUCAUCUUUCAACUCAACUUGGACCCUUCAGAUAGAGGACUGUUCUUUGAUAGCUCUUCAAACAGAGCAUUGUCCUUUUGUAAAACAGAACAGGUUGUUAUCCUGCUCACAUCAUCAGGCACAAAAUCAGGAGCAAUGUGCACACCUGGUGUUACCCACUGAGCUGAGCAAUGCAGUAUAGGCUAAUGAGUGUUGGUGGAAACACCUGAGAUUCUUGUCUGCUUUGUAAACCAAAUGCUUUGCCCUGUGAUUCUUCUGAUUACAUAGUUUGGUUCCUCUACAUUCAAAGUACCACUGAGUUAAGUGUGAUUUAUGUCUAGGACUGUAGCCUUAGUGAUGGCCCCUGGUCUCUAACUCUUUAUACAAUAUUAUUGUAAGAUAUAAUAAUUAUAAAUAAAUACAAGCAGGGAGGAAAUUUA
Molecule: non-coding RNA, 1369 nt
Organism: Podarcis muralis (Common wall lizard)
Lineage: Eukaryota; Metazoa; Chordata; Lepidosauria; Squamata; Lacertidae
Source: RefSeq, a predicted model, not a curated record